GACGAACGCUGGCGGUGUGCUUAACACAUGCAAGUCGAACGGCAGCACCGUAAUGGCGGGCUCUUGAGGGGGGAAAGGGGGAGAAAGACGAGGGAUACAUCGCAAUUUCCUUUGUAGUAGGGGGGGAAAUAGGGAAACAUACUCGAAUAGACCAUACGGCAUGGGGGGGGGAGGAAGGGAUCGUUGUGGUUAGGGCGGAGGUACGGGCCGAUGUCGGUUUAGCUGGGGGGAUGGGUAAACGACCACCAAGGCGACGGUCCGUAGCUGGGCUGAGAGGGUGAUCAGCCACACUGGAACUGAGACACGGUUCAGACUCCGACGCGAGGCAGCAGUGGGGAAUAUUGGACAAUGGGCGCAAGCCUGAACCAGCCAUACCGCGUGGGUGAAGAAGGCCUUCGGGUUGUAAAGCCCUUUUGUUGGGAAAGAAAAGCAGCAGGUUAAUACGCCGCUGUUCUGACGGUACCCAAAGAAUAAGCACCGGCUAACUUCGUG
Molecule: ribosomal RNA, 492 nt
Filed under: uncultured bacterium
Lineage: Bacteria
Description: partial 16S ribosomal RNA
Rfam family: Bacterial small subunit ribosomal RNA
Source: RNAcentral